RNAcentral lists this ribosomal RNA (253 nucleotides) under uncultured bacterium. RNAcentral's name for it is "partial 16S ribosomal RNA". It matches the Rfam family "Bacterial small subunit ribosomal RNA", at positions 524 to 776 of the family's 1533-position model. The record is from RNAcentral.
UACGAAGGGGGCUAGCGUUGCUCGGAAUUACUGGGCGUAAAGGGCGCGUAGGCGGCUAUUUAAGUUAGAGGUGAAAGCCCAGGGCUCAACCCUGGAACAGCCUUUAAUACUGGAUAUCUUGAGUUCGGGAGAGGUGAGUGGAACUCCGAGUGUAGAGGUGAAAUUCGUAGAUAUUCGGAAGAACACCAGUGGCGAAGGCGACUCACUGGCCCGAUACUGACGCUGAGGCGCGAAAGCGUGGGGAGCAAACAGG